UAGUUAUGUUCUUUAAAUUUAAAGAAUUUGGCGGUGUUUUAGUCUAUUUAGAGGAAUUUGCCCUUUAAUCGAUAAUCCCCGAUUUAUCUAACUUUAUUUUGUUUUCAGUAUGUAUACCGCCGUUAUAAGUUUAUUUUUUUAGAAAAUUUAAUUUACUUUAAUCUUUAUUUUGAUUUAUUUCAGGUCAAGGUGCAGUUUAUAAUAAAGUAGUGGUUAAUUACAAUAAUAUUUGAUUAAACGAAUAUAAUUUUUAAAACUUUUGUUGAAGGUGGAUUUAAUAGUAAUUUUGUUUAUAAUAUCAAUUUGAUUUUAGCUCUAAAAUGAGUACACAUCGCCCGGUCGCUCUA
Molecule: ribosomal RNA, 347 nt
Filed under: Necrosciinae sp. 6 SB-2021
Lineage: Eukaryota; Metazoa; Arthropoda; Insecta; Phasmatodea; Lonchodidae
Description: partial small subunit ribosomal RNA
Source: RNAcentral